This 88-nucleotide long non-coding RNA is filed under the name Taeniopygia guttata (zebra finch). RNAcentral's name for it is "lncRNA (ENSTGUG00000024546.1)". The record is from RNAcentral. Lineage: Eukaryota; Metazoa; Chordata; Aves; Passeriformes; Estrildidae.
GCCAAAGCAACAAUCCUGUCUUAAUGCCGCUUCUGAAUAUUAUGUCUACAAAGGUAUAAGCCACCAUGGGGUUUGAUGCCUACUGCUC